RNAcentral lists this ribosomal RNA (253 nucleotides) under uncultured bacterium. RNAcentral describes it as "partial 16S ribosomal RNA". It matches the Rfam family "Bacterial small subunit ribosomal RNA", at positions 524 to 776 of the family's 1533-position model. The record is from RNAcentral.
UACGGAGGGAGCUAGCGUUGUUCGGAAUCACUGGGCGUAAAGCGCACGUAGGCGGCUACUCAAGUCGGGGGUGAAAGCCCGGGGCUCAACCCCGGAACUGCCCUCGAAACUAGGCAGCUAGAAUCUUGGAGAGGCGAGUGGAAUUCCGAGUGUAGAGGUGAAAUUCGUAGAUAUUCGGAAGAACACCAGUGGCGAAGGCGACUCACUGGACACGUAUUGACGCUGAGGUGCGAAAGCGUGGGGAGCAAACAGG